CUACGGGCUGCACCAGUGGGGAAUAUUGGACAAUGGGCGCAAGCCUGAUCCAGCCAUGCCGCGUGAGUGAUGAAGGCCCUAGGGUUGUAAAGCUCUUUCGCCGGUGAAGAUAAUGACGGUAACCGGUAAAGAAGCCCCGGCUAACUUCGUGCCAGCAGCCGCGGUAAUACGAAGGGGGCUAGCGUUGUUCGGAAUUACUGGGCGUAAAGCACACGUAGGCGGACAUUUAAGUCAGGGGUGAAAUCCCGGGGCGCAGCCCCGGAACUGCCUUUGAUACUGGAUGUCUUGAGGCCGGAAGAGGUGAGUGGAAUUGCGAGUGUAGAGGUGAAAUUCGUAGAUAUUCGCAGGAACACCAGUGGCGAAGGCGGCUCACUGGUCCGGUACUGACGCUGAGGUGCGAAAGCGUGGGGAGCAAACAGGAUUAGAUACCCGGGUAGUC
RNAcentral lists this ribosomal RNA (439 nucleotides) under uncultured bacterium. RNAcentral's name for it is "partial 16S ribosomal RNA". It matches the Rfam family "Bacterial small subunit ribosomal RNA", at positions 339 to 795 of the family's 1533-position model. The record is from RNAcentral.